CAUCAAGUAUAACUACAUACUGAGUCCAAUGAUGGAGGGAUUUCAUUAACUACCACUAAUAGGAUUGAUGUCACUCCAAUACAACAAUGUUGCCAUGAUCAUGCUACUGCUACUGUUCAACAAGGCAUGAAAAGUCGAGGGAAAGC
Ipomoea triloba (trilobed morning glory) is the source of this 146-nucleotide long non-coding RNA. RefSeq lists it as uncharacterized. The transcript is spliced from 3 exons. The record is from RefSeq and is a predicted model, not a curated record. Lineage: Eukaryota; Viridiplantae; Streptophyta; Magnoliopsida; Solanales; Convolvulaceae.